This is a non-coding RNA of Oncorhynchus mykiss (rainbow trout), 615 nucleotides long. NCBI's taxonomy places the organism in Eukaryota, Metazoa, Chordata, Actinopteri, Salmoniformes, Salmonidae. The record is from RefSeq and is a predicted model, not a curated record.
UUCCUGAAGCUGAUGAUGAUGUCACAUACAGCACUGUCAUCUUCCAGCAACAAGACCCAACUAAAAGGACAGACCAAGUCAGCAGAACCAGAUGAUAAUGUGGUCUACAGCUCACUAGCUCUACAGGUGACCACACAGCAGAGGGCAGCAGCAGCACAAUAGUGACUGACUGAGAAGACUUUCCUUUUACUGGAAGGACAGAACACUCCCCUCUCCUGUGUCACAACGUCUAUCUGCCUCCAAUAUGAUUCUGUCAUACUUCUUAACCCAUCCCAGAAAGACCCCGUUAUCCUUUUGUGUAAUAAACUACUGAAGGCAGUCUGCUGUGUUUGUUCUGAUUAUCAUCACAUUUCUGUUAUUAGUUAUGUUCCACCACCUUUCCCCUUGUCUCUUAUUUCUUACAUCAUGAUCUUAUUGAUCUAGUUUAAUGUCCUAUGCCUGUAACUAAUCAUGAUCAACGUGUAUUAAGAUCUUAGUAAUAAAUGAUUAACCCAAGUGGAGAGUUGAAGGACACAUGUAAAGGAGUUCCCGGGGUUCAAACCAAAUCUGUUAAAGUAUGAGGGAGGGGGGUUAUUAACAGUGGGGCGUUUAUCAUAGGUUACUGUUUAAGUUCCC